Molecule: ribosomal RNA, 729 nt
Filed under: uncultured eukaryote
Lineage: Eukaryota
Description: SSU rRNA
Rfam family: Eukaryotic small subunit ribosomal RNA
Source: RNAcentral
CGGGUGCACUGAUCCGGCCGGGCCUUUCCCUCUGUGGAACCCCAUGGCCUUCACUGGCUGUGCGGGGGAAACAGGACUUUUACUGUGAAAAAAUUAGAGUGCUCCAGGCAGGCCUAUGCUCGAAUACAUUAGCAUGGAAUAAUAGAAUAGGACGCGUGGUUCUAUUUUGUUGGUUUCUAGGACCGCCGUAAUGAUUAAUAGGGACAGUCGGGGGCAUCAGUAUUCAAUUGUCAGAGGUGAAAUUCUUGGAUCUAUUGAAGACUAACUACUGCGAAAGCAUUUGCCAAGGAUGUUUUCAUUGAUAAGGAACGAAAGUUAGGGGAUCGAAGACGAUCAGAUACCGUCGUAGUCUUAACUAUAAACUAUGCCGACUAGGGAUCGGACGAUGUUAUUUCUUGACGCGUUCGGCACCUUUCGAGAAAUCAAAGUGCUUGGGCUCCAGGGGGAGUAUGGUCGCAAGGCUGAAACUUAAAGAAAUUGACGGAAGGGCACCACCAGGGGUGGAACCUGCGGCUUAAUUUGACUCAACACGGGGAAACUCACCAGGUCCAGACACAGUGAGGAUCGACAGAUUGAGAGCUCUUUCUUGAUUCUGUGGGUGGUGGUGCAUGGCCGUUCUUAGUUGGUGGAGUGAUUUGUCUGCUUAAUUGCGAUAACGAACGAGACCUUAACCUGCUAAAUAGCCCGUACUGCUCUGGCAGUUCGCCGGCUUCUUAGAGGGACUAUCGG